Pararge aegeria (speckled wood butterfly) is the source of this 620-nucleotide long non-coding RNA. RefSeq lists it as uncharacterized. Lineage: Eukaryota; Metazoa; Arthropoda; Insecta; Lepidoptera; Nymphalidae. The record is from RefSeq and is a predicted model, not a curated record. The transcript is spliced from 3 exons.
UCGCACAUCAAUCAAUAUCAAAUUUUCCGUCCACAACAAAAUCAAAAUUUCCCUACAAUAAUUCAAGAUUACUACAGUAACUUAAAAUAAACCUUUCAAGAAUUAAUUGAUAGCCGCCAUGGUCUCAAGAGUACCAUGGGCCUGAUCCGAUGUACUCUAUUGCUGAUAUCCGCUGACCUCGCUUGGAUUACCGGUGCUGUCGGUUGCACCAGGAAGGUGUACAUCGCUUGCAGGGAUCCUGCGCCCUGUGGGAAAUAAAAAGUGGUACGCCAUGGCUAAAAUCAACUGGGCAUUCCUUUAUUCGAUGCUGAUAGUUUUGCUCUCCAUAUUCGCUACUGGAUCUGGUUGUUGUAAAAAGAAUAUCCCGUGUACGGGCAGAGCUCCUUGCAGGAAAGGACCGUAUAGAAACUGAGCAGUUAGCAAAUAUCUCUACUUGAAUAACCAACAGCUUCUGGUGAAAAUCUACAGCAAAAUAUAAACCAUUAUGAAUUCAGAAAGUUCAGAAACCUUUAUGAUAUGAAAAAAUGUUUAAAAAUGAAAAGUAUGGAACGAAAAUCUCCCGUGCACAUAAUGUUACAAAACGAUUUAAAAUAUAUUCCGAACGACAUGGCAAUUAAAAG